This 314-nucleotide ribosomal RNA is filed under the name uncultured fungus. RNAcentral describes it as "partial large subunit ribosomal RNA". It matches the Rfam family "Eukaryotic large subunit ribosomal RNA", at positions 40 to 350 of the family's 3401-position model. Lineage: Eukaryota; Fungi. The record is from RNAcentral.
AUAUCAAUAAGCGGAGGAAAAGAAACUAACAAGGAUUCCCCCAGUAACUGCGAGUGAAGCGGCAAAAGCUCAGAUUUGAAAUCAGGUGCGUCUCCGCGCCCGAGUUGUAAUCUGGAGAGGAUGCUCCGGCGAAACCGGCCGCCCAAGUUCCUUGGAACAGGACGUCUCAGAGGGUGAGAACCCCGUACCCGGCGGCAUGGCUAGCCAUGUGGAGCUCCCUCGACGAGUCGAGUUGUUUGGGAAUGCAGCUCAAACUGGGUGGUAAAUUCCAUCUAAAGCUAAAUAUUGGACGGGAGACCGAUAGCGCACAAGUA